GAUGAACGCUGGCGGCGUGCUUAACACAUGCAAGUCGAACGGAAAGGCCCAAGCUUGCUUAGGUACUCGAGUGGCGAACGGGUGAGUAACACGUGGGUGAUCUGCCCUGCACUUCGGGAUAAGCCUGGGAAACUGGGUCUAAUACCGGAUAGGACGAUGGUUUGGAUGCCAUUGUGGAAAGUUUUUUCGGUGUGGGAUGAGCUCGCGGCCUAUCAGCUUGUUGGUGGGGUAAUGGCCUACCAAGGCGUCGACGGGUAGCCGGCCUGUGAGGGUGUACGGCGACAUUGUGAGUGUGAUACGGCGCAGACUCCUACGGGAGGCAGCAGUGGGGAAUAUUGCACAAUGGGGGCGAGCCUGUGGCAGAGAAGCCGCGUGGGGGAUGACGGCCUUCGGGUGGUAAACACCGUUCGCUAGGGACGAAGCGUGUUUGUGACGGUACCUGGAGAAGAAGCACCGGCUAACUACGUG
RNAcentral lists this ribosomal RNA (468 nucleotides) under uncultured bacterium. RNAcentral's name for it is "partial 16S ribosomal RNA". It matches the Rfam family "Bacterial small subunit ribosomal RNA", at positions 28 to 507 of the family's 1533-position model. The record is from RNAcentral.